RNAcentral lists this ribosomal RNA (446 nucleotides) under uncultured bacterium. Its description in RNAcentral is "partial 16S ribosomal RNA". It matches the Rfam family "Bacterial small subunit ribosomal RNA", at positions 328 to 792 of the family's 1533-position model. The record is from RNAcentral.
UUGCCAGACUCCUACGGGAGGCAGCAGUGGGGAAUAUUGCACAAUGGGGGAAACCCUGAUGCAGCGACGCCGCGUGGGUGAAGAAGCGCCUCGGCGCGUAAAGCCCUGUCAGCAGGGAAGAAAUGACGGUACCUGACUAAGAAGCCCCGGCUAACUACGUGCCAGCAGCCGCGGUAAUACGUAGGGGGCAAGCGUUAUCCGGAUUUACUGGGUGUAAAGGGAGCGUAGACGGUGAAGCAAGUCUGAAGUGAAAGGCGGGGGCUCAACCCCCGGACUGCUUUGGAAACUGUUUGACUGGAGUGCAGGAGAGGUAAGUGGAAUUCCUAGUGUAGCGGUGAAAUGCGUAGAUAUUAGGAGGAACACCAGUGGCGAAGGCGGCUUACUGGACUGUAACUGACGUUGAGGCUCGAAAGCGUGGGGAGCAAACAGGAUUAGAUACCCCGGUA